UACAGAGGUGGCAAGCGUUGUUCGGAAUUACUGGGCGUAAAGGGCGCGUAGGCGGCCUUCUAAGUCAGACGUGAAAUCCCCCGGCUUAACCUGGGAACUGCGUCUGAUACUGGAAGGCUUGAGUGCGGGAGAGGGAUGCGGAAUUCCAGGUGUAGCGGUGAAAUGCGUAGAUAUCUGGAGGAACACCUGUGGCGAAAGCGGCGCACUGGACCACAACUGACGCUGAGGCGCGAAAGCUAGGGGAGCAAACAGG
RNAcentral lists this ribosomal RNA (253 nucleotides) under uncultured prokaryote. RNAcentral's name for it is "partial 16S ribosomal RNA". It matches the Rfam family "Bacterial small subunit ribosomal RNA", at positions 524 to 776 of the family's 1533-position model. The record is from RNAcentral.